Molecule: long non-coding RNA, 240 nt
Filed under: Anser brachyrhynchus (Pink-footed goose)
Lineage: Eukaryota; Metazoa; Chordata; Aves; Anseriformes; Anatidae
Description: lncRNA (ENSABRG00000012230.1)
Source: RNAcentral
UGUACUGUCAAAGAGUUUCUACAGAGUCUGUCAACUCCGUGGCCAUCCUCAGGAUUCUUCUCACUGUGAAGACCGCUCCAUGCCUCUCUGGGCAUAUCCGAAAAGCGAGGUCUCAACACACCCUGUUCCUAUCCUACCAUUUGCAUGCCCAAUAUCAGUGUUCCACUCUGAAGGAAUGAGAAACAUUUAAUUAACUAAUGAAGUGGGUAAUGGGUACCUCAGCAGUAGAGACUUUCUGCA